Molecule: long non-coding RNA, 260 nt
Filed under: Aedes aegypti (yellow fever mosquito)
Lineage: Eukaryota; Metazoa; Arthropoda; Insecta; Diptera; Culicidae
Description: lncRNA AAEL020867
Source: RNAcentral
UUUAUGGGUUAAUACUGUAAAUUGUAUAUGAACAAAAGCCAUGUAGGUUAUCCGAUAAUGGUCAUGUGAUUAGCAGAUGUGAAAAUUAGUAGGUUUUCAAGAUGGCGUAUUCAGUUGGUUGAUUGCAUUUUAGCCGGUUGAGAGUUCAGUUUUCAGUGUAUUUCUCCACAGUCAUUGAUUGAACAACAACGAUAGAAAGAUAAAGGAAAUCCUUAGGAUACCCAAGACUUCCGCAAGCCGCAGACGAUGGAUUAUGGCAG